CUCCGGUUGAUCCUGCCGGACCCGACUGCUAUCAGAGUGGGACUAAGCCAUGCGAGUCAACAUAGCAAUAUGUGGCAUACGGCUCAGUAACACGUAGUCAACAUGCCCAGGGGACGUGGAUAACCUCGGGAAACUGAGGAUAAACCGCGAUAAGUCACUACUUCUGGAAUGGGUAAUGACUCAAAUCUACAUGGCCCCUGGAUUGGACUGCGGCCGAUCAGGCUGUUGGUGAGGUAAUGGCCCACCAAACCUGUAACCGGUACGGGCUCUGAGAGGAGGAGCCCGGAGAUGGGCACUGAGACAAGGGCCCAGGCCCUAUGGGGCGCAGCAGGCGCGAAACCUCUGCAAUAGGCGAAAGCCUGACAGGGUUACUCUGAGUGAUUUCCGUUAAGGAGAUCUUUUGGCACCUCUAAAAAUGGUGCAGAAUAAGGGGUGGGCAAGUCUGGUGUCAGCCGCCGCGGUAAUACCAGCACCCCGAGUGGUCGGGACGUUUAUUGGGCCUAAAGCAUCCGUAGCCGGUUCUACAAGUCUUCCGUUAAAUCCACCUGCUUAACAGAUGGGCUGCGGAAGAUACUAUAGAGCUAGGAGGCGGGAGAGGCAAGCGGUACUCGAUGGGUAGGGGUAAAAUCCGUUGAUCCAUUGAAGACCACCAGUGGCGAAGGCGGCUUGCCAGAACGCGCUCGACGGUGAGGGAUGAAAGCUGGGGGAGCAAACCGGAUUAGAUACCCGGGUAGUCCCAGCUGUAAACGAUGCAGACUCGGUGAUGAGUUGGCUUAUUGCUAACUCAGUGCCGCAGGGAAGCCGUUAAGUUUGCCGCCUGGGGAGUACGGUCGCAAGACUGAAACUUAAAGGAAUUGGCGGGGGGAGCC
Molecule: ribosomal RNA, 869 nt
Filed under: uncultured archaeon
Lineage: Archaea
Description: bacterial SSU rRNA
Rfam family: Archaeal small subunit ribosomal RNA
Source: RNAcentral